GAUGAACGCUGGCGGCGUGCCUAAUACAUGCAAGUCGAGCGAACAGACGAGGAGCUUGCUCCUCUGACGUUAGCGGCGGACGGGUGAGUAACACGUGGAUAACCUACCUAUAAGACUGGGAUAACUUCGGGAAACCGGAGCUAAUACCGGAUAAUAUAUUGAACCGCAUGGUUCAAUAGUGAAAGACGGUUUUGCUGUCACUUAUAGAUGGAUCCGCGCCGCAUUAGCUAGUUGGUAAGGUAACGGCUUACCAAGGCAACGAUGCGUAGCCGACCUGAGAGGGUAGUCGGCCACACUGGAACUGAGACACGAUCCAGACUCCUACGGGAGGCAGCAGUAGGGAAUCUUCCGCAAUGGGCGAAAGCCUGACGGAGCAACGCCGCGUGAGUGAUGAAGGUCUUCGGAUCGUAAAACUCUGUUAUUAGGGAAGAACAAAUGUGUAAGUAACUAUGCACGUCUUGACGGUACCUAAUCAGAAAGCCACGGCUAACUACGU
Molecule: ribosomal RNA, 496 nt
Filed under: uncultured bacterium
Lineage: Bacteria
Description: partial 16S ribosomal RNA
Rfam family: Bacterial small subunit ribosomal RNA
Source: RNAcentral